RNAcentral lists this ribosomal RNA (519 nucleotides) under Triticum aestivum (bread wheat). Its description in RNAcentral is "partial small subunit ribosomal RNA". The record is from RNAcentral. Lineage: Eukaryota; Viridiplantae; Streptophyta; Magnoliopsida; Poales; Poaceae.
AUGAUCUCUCCCACUCAAAGUGCCUUUAUACCCGAAAGGUUAAUUUCAGAUAACGCACUUAUUGCUUUUGAAUGUAUUCAUUCGUUGAGUACUUUAAAAGAUCAGCGUGGAGAGUUCUGUGCUUAUAAGUUGGACCUGGCAAAAGCGUAUGAUCGCGUAGAUUGGCAUUUUUUAAAGAGUAUGCUAGGGGCUUUUGGUUUUGCGCCAACUUGGAUUAACUGGAUCAUGACAUGUGUUACUUCAGUGAAAUUUUCAGUCCGAUUUAAUGGUCAAUUGUUGGAACCUUUUUAUCCUUCUUGUGGGCUCAGGCAAGGGGAUUCAUUAUCGCCGUACUUGUUCCUGUUUGUGGCUGAAGCCCUAUCUUUGUUAUUAAAGGAUGCAUGUGACAAAGGUGGUCUAAAGGAUUUCCACUUGAACAGACAUGCACCAGGUAUUUCUCAUCUAUUAUUUGCAGAUGAUAGUCUUCUGUUUUUCAAGGGGUCCAUAGAUCAAGCCUUGGUCAUUAAAAAUACUAGAUAA